Molecule: ribosomal RNA, 453 nt
Filed under: Kodamaea ohmeri
Lineage: Eukaryota; Fungi; Ascomycota; Pichiomycetes; Serinales; Debaryomycetaceae
Description: partial large subunit ribosomal RNA
Rfam family: Eukaryotic large subunit ribosomal RNA
Source: RNAcentral
CGGCAAAAGCUCAAAUUUGAAAUCCCCCCGGGGAGUUGUAAUUUGAAGAUUGCGUCUUGGAGGCGACCGUGUCUAUGUUCCUUGGAACAGGACGUCACAGAGGGUGAGAAUCCCGUGCGGCACGGCCCCCGGCUCCUUAUAAGGCGCUCUCGACGAGUCGAGUUGUUUGGGAAUGCAGCUCAAAGUGGGUGGUAAAUUCCAUCUAAAGCUAAAUACAGGCGAGAGACCGAUAGCGAACAAGUACAGUGAUGGAAAGAUGAAAAGCACUUUGAAAAGAGAGUGAAACAGCACGUGAAAUUGUUGAAAGGGAAGGGCAUGCCGUCAGAUUGUCAGUGUGGGUAAGAAGCGGGGUACAAAGACUGUGGAACGUGGCCCUCGGGUGUUAUAGCCGCAGUUCAUGCCCCGUCUCUUUCCGAGGCCUGCUUUGAGGACACCGACGUAAUGACGGUACGC